CGUUUUCCGCGCCGUAGCUAACGCAUUAAAAGUGCCCCGCCUGGGGAGUACGGCCGCAAGGCUUAAACUCAAAGGAAUUGACGGGGGCCCGCACAACGGCGGAGCAUCGGAUUAAUUCGAUGCAACGCGAAGAACCUUACCAAGGCUUGACAUGUGCUAGAUCGCCAUAGAAAUAUGGUUUCCCCUUUGGGGCUGGUUCACAGGUGGUGCAUGGUUGUCGUCAGCUCGUGUCGUGAGAUGUUGGGUUAAGUCCCGCAACGAGCGCAACCCUCGUUCCAUGUUGCCAGCACGUAGUGGUGGGGACUCAUGGGAGACUGCCGGGGUCAACUCGGAGGAAGGUGGGGAUGACGUCAAAUCAUCAUGCCCUUUAUGUCUUGGGCUUCACGCAUGCUACAAUGGCUGGUACAGAGAGAUGCGAGACCGCGAGGUUUUAGCGAAUCCCUUAAAGCCAGUCUCAGUUCGGAUCGUAGUCUGCAAUUCGACUACGUGAACGCUCGGAGUCGCUAGUAAUCGCAGAUCAGCAACGCUGCGGUGAAUACGUUCCCGGGCCUUGUACACACCGCCCGUCAAGUCACGAAAGUCGGUAACACCCGAAGCCGGUGGCCCAACCCCCUUGUGGGGAGGGGGCCGUCUAAGGUGGGACUCGGCACAUUGGGACUAAGUCGUAACAAGGUAGCCGUACCGGAAGGUGCGGCUGGAUCACCUCC
Molecule: ribosomal RNA, 707 nt
Filed under: uncultured bacterium
Lineage: Bacteria
Description: bacterial SSU rRNA
Rfam family: Bacterial small subunit ribosomal RNA
Source: RNAcentral